GACAGUGCUGCCAAAGAGAAAAGUGAGAACAUGUGAGAGGAACAACCCCCCAGACAUGAAGGUCAGUGCAGAAGGAGGGCGAGGAGGCGCUCCAGGCUCCGGAGCUGAGGUUCCCCUGCAGCCCAUAGUGCAGCCCAAGG
Molecule: long non-coding RNA, 140 nt
Organism: Empidonax traillii (willow flycatcher)
Lineage: Eukaryota; Metazoa; Chordata; Aves; Passeriformes; Tyrannidae
Exons: 3
Source: RefSeq, a predicted model, not a curated record